Molecule: ribosomal RNA, 1393 nt
Filed under: Microbacterium sp.
Lineage: Bacteria; Bacillati; Actinomycetota; Actinomycetes; Micrococcales; Microbacteriaceae
Description: bacterial SSU rRNA
Rfam family: Bacterial small subunit ribosomal RNA
Source: RNAcentral
GCAGUCGAACGGUGAAGCCAAGCUUGCUUGGUGGAUCAGUGGCGAACGGGUGAGUAACACGUGAGCAACCUGCCCUGGACUCUGGGAUAAGCGCUGGAAACGGCGUCUAAUACUGGAUAUGAGCUCUCAUCGCAUGGUGGGGGUUGGAAAGAUUUUUCGGUCUGGGAUGGGCUCGCGGCCUAUCAGCUUGUUGGUGAGGUAAUGGCUCACCAAGGCGUCGACGGGUAGCCGGCCUGAGAGGGUGACCGGCCACACUGGGACUGAGACACGGCCCAGACUCCUACGGGAGGCAGCAGUGGGGAAUAUUGCACAAUGGGCGGAAGCCUGAUGCAGCAACGCCGCGUGAGGGAUGACGGCCUUCGGGUUGUAAACCUCUUUUAGCAGGGAAGAAGCGAGAGUGACGGUACCUGCAGAAAAAGCGCCGGGCUAACUACGUGCCAGCAGCCGCGGUAAUACGUAGGGCGCAAGCGUUAUCCGGAAUUAUUGGGCGUAAAGAGCUCGUAGGCGGUUUGUCGCGUCUGCUGUGAAAUCCCGAGGCUCAACCUCGGGCCUGCAGUGGGUACGGGCAGACUAGAGUGCGGUAGGGGAGAUUGGAAUUCCUGGUGUAGCGGUGGAAUGCGCAGAUAUCAGGAGGAACACCGAUGGCGAAGGCAGAUCUCUGGGCCGUAACUGACGCUGAGGAGCGAAAGGGUGGGGAGCAAACAGGCUUAGAUACCCUGGUAGUCCACCCCGUAAACGUUGGGAACUAGUUGUGGGGACCAUUCCACGGUUUCCGUGACGCAGCUAACGCAUUAAGUUCCCCGCCUGGGGAGUACGGCCGCAAGGCUAAAACUCAAAGGAAUUGACGGGGACCCGCACAAGCGGCGGAGCAUGCGGAUUAAUUCGAUGCAACGCGAAGAACCUUACCAAGGCUUGACAUACACCAGAACACCGUAGAAAUACGGGACUCUUUGGACACUGGUGAACAGGUGGUGCAUGGUUGUCGUCAGCUCGUGUCGUGAGAUGUUGGGUUAAGUCCCGCAACGAGCGCAACCCUCGUUCUAUGUUGCCAGCACGUAAUGGUGGGAACUCAUGGGAUACUGCCGGGGUCAACUCGGAGGAAGGUGGGGAUGACGUCAAAUCAUCAUGCCCCUUAUGUCUUGGGCUUCACGCAUGCUACAAUGGCCGGUACAAAGGGCUGCAAUACCGUGAGGUGGAGCGAAUCCCAAAAAGCCGGUCCCAGUUCGGAUUGAGGUCUGCAACUCGACCUCAUGAAGUCGGAGUCGCUAGUAAUCGCAGAUCAGCAACGCUGCGGUGAAUACGUUCCCGGGUCUUGUACACACCGCCCGUCAAGUCAUGAAAGUCGGUAACACCUGAAGCCGGUGGCCCAACCCUUGUGGAGGGAGCCGUCGAA